Molecule: non-coding RNA, 46 nt
Filed under: Podarcis lilfordi (Lilford's wall lizard)
Lineage: Eukaryota; Metazoa; Chordata; Lepidosauria; Squamata; Lacertidae
Rfam family: Histone 3' UTR stem-loop
About the family: The mRNAs of metazoan histone genes lack a poly-A tail. 3' end processing occurs at a site between a highly conserved stem-loop (modelled by this family) and a purine rich region around 20 nts downstream (the histone downstream element, or HDE). The stem-loop is bound by a 31 kDa stem-loop binding protein (SLBP - also termed the histone hairpin binding protein, or HBP).
Source: RNAcentral
CCAAAGGCUCUUUUAAGAGCCACCCACUUUUUCAUAAAAAGAGCUG